UAUUGGUCAAUGGGCGUAAGCCUGAACCAGCCAAGUCGCGUGAGGGAAGACGGUCCUACGGAUUGUAAACCACUUUUGCCGGGGAGCAACGGGGUCCUUGCGAGGGCCUUAUGAGAGUACCCGGAGAAAAGGCAUCGGCUAACUCCGUGCCAGCAGCCGCGGUAAUACGGAGGAUGCGAGCGUUAUCCGGAUUUAUUGGGUUUAAAGGGUGCGUAGGCGGCGAGUUAAGUAAGCGGUAAAAGCCCGGGGCUCAACCCCGGCCCGCCGUUGAAACUGGCUGGCUUGAGUUGGGGAAAGGCAGGCGGAAUGCGCGGCGUAGCGGUGAAAUGCAUAGAUAUCGCGCAGAACCCCGAUUGCGAAGGCAGCCUGCCGGCCCCACACUGACGCUGAGGCACGGAAGCGUGGGUAUCGAACAGG
RNAcentral lists this ribosomal RNA (417 nucleotides) under uncultured bacterium. Its description in RNAcentral is "bacterial SSU rRNA". It matches the Rfam family "Bacterial small subunit ribosomal RNA", at positions 362 to 776 of the family's 1533-position model. The record is from RNAcentral.